GGGGGAAGAAAGUAGAGAACGUACAACUGGAACUUGACGCAGCUAGCUGGGAACAAGCGUCAGCUUCGGUAAACAGCUCCAUGCUAUUGUUUUAACCAAAUCAAGUGUGGAUCAGGGUAGAAGCGUAGGUAUGAUUUAAGAUAGUAACUAAGGAAUAGGAUAAUCAGUAUCUAGGGGUGGGGGUUAGUUAACAUGUGUAUAAUUUAAACUAUAAAAAUCACGAAUCGACUCUGUAUGCUUUGGACAUCAGAUUUGGGUGUAUUAUCACCCCGGUGUCCCGCGCGCUGGAAUAAAGAACCGCAUAUGAUCGCCUCUGUGUGGUUAUAUGUUUUCCUACGCUAACAUUUUUGGCGACCCAGAUGGGACCUUGUGGGCGCAGCCAGGACCCCGUGACCCGAUCACGCUCCAGCCGGCACCAGGUGAUUUCUCGGGGAGCCCAUCGGAGCCGCGACCCUCGCCGCUCACAACGACCCCUGGUGAGAGCUCGGCUCCGAAGUGUUCUCGUAUAGAACAGACCACUGGCCCUAGAGAAUCCAGUCCACAAUAUCGAACCAGGAGAUGAAGUAUACAUCAAAACCUGGAACGAAGAACCACUAAAAGAGAAGUGGACUAGUCCCCAUCAGUUUACAAAAUCCUGAAGAGAGAGAUACAGAAAAAGGCAUCUUAGAACAGGACCAUAAUGAAGGCAUUGGCACAGAACCCAGCACCUUCAAUCCGCAACAACAUCCCGGACAAAGCCUAUAACAACAGAAAAUUUGAAGAUGAACAUCCAGUAUGAACUCUGAAACCUAAUGGACUGUAUUAAGUGAAAGCAUUUACACUUAGUAUAUUAGAGUGAAAAUACUUUCAAAGGGAGGAAUGUUGGUGGAGGGUUAAAAAAUAUAAUUUCUAGAUUGAGCAAUGUGUAGGGGGAAGAAAGUAGAGAACGUACAACUGGAACUUGACGCAGCUAGCUGGGAACAAGCGUCAGCUUCGGUAAACAGCUCCAUGCUAUUGUUUUAACCAAAUCAAGUGUGGAUCAGGGUAGAAGCGUAGGUAUGAUUUAAGAUAGUAACUAAGGAAUAGGAUAAUCAGUAUCUAGGGGUGGGGGUUAGUUAACAUGUGUAUAAUUUAAACUAUAAAAAUCACGAAUCGACUCUGUAUGCUUUGGACAUCAGAUUUGGGUGUAUUAUCACCCCAGUGUCCCGCGCGCUGGAAUAAAGAACCGCAUAUGAUCGCCUCUGUGUGGUUAUAUGUUUUCCUACGCUAACAA
Long non-coding RNA from Prinia subflava (tawny-flanked prinia), 1252 nucleotides. RefSeq lists it as uncharacterized. The transcript has 3 exons. The record is from RefSeq and is a predicted model, not a curated record. NCBI's taxonomy places the organism in Eukaryota, Metazoa, Chordata, Aves, Passeriformes, Cisticolidae.